RNAcentral lists this ribosomal RNA (253 nucleotides) under uncultured bacterium. Its description in RNAcentral is "partial 16S ribosomal RNA". It matches the Rfam family "Bacterial small subunit ribosomal RNA", at positions 524 to 776 of the family's 1533-position model. The record is from RNAcentral.
UACGGAGGGUGCGAGCGUUGUUCGGAAUCACUGGGCGUAAAGCGCGUGUAGGCGGUUCGUUAAGUCUGGUGUGAAAGCCCGGGGCUCACCCCCGGAAGAGCACUGGAAACUGACGAGCUCGAGUCCCGGAGAGGAGAGUGGAAUUCCUGGUGUAGCGGUGAAAUGCGUAGAUAUCAGGAGGAACACCGGUGGCGAAGGCGGCUCUCUGGACGGUGACUGACGCUGAGACGCGAAAGCGUGGGGAGCAAACAGG